GUAGGCUGAAAGCUCUGUGUCUCGACGACAUGAGCUAGAUGGCGAAUGGCCCGCAGCACCCCCUCGGGAGGAACGGGAGGCCGCGGUUCACCCCGAGCCCCCACGCAAGCAAGACAAGCCCAGGUCAGUGCGCGAACGCCUCGGGGAUAAUGUCGGGCAUUGGUUUUGCUACAUUGAUAGUGGUUUUAUGUUUUUCUUUUUUAUUUAUUUUUGCUAAAUCUUUUAAAAAUUAUAGUAAAUCAUAAAAAUAAUAAAAUAAAAAUAUUCAAUUUUUUUGACUCCACAUGAGUAGAUUUACACGGUUAAUAUAUAAUAUGGUAUGCUUUAGUAUAACUUCUUUGUUGUAACUUUAGAUCUAUGAAUUAUUCCACUUAAUUGCAGAAAAGCAUAGAUCUAAAGUUAUAUCAAAAACUUUAUACUAAAUCAUACAAUAUUAUAUGUUCAGUACGUAGAUUUACUCACGUGAAGUUCAACAAAAUUGGUUUUUUUAUUUUAUAAUUUUUCUCUAAUUUAGUAUGAUUUUGAAAGAUUUAGUAAAAAUAAAUAAAAAAAGAAAAAGACAAAACCACUGUCACUAUAGCAAAACCACCU
Molecule: long non-coding RNA, 591 nt
Filed under: Sorghum bicolor (sorghum)
Lineage: Eukaryota; Viridiplantae; Streptophyta; Magnoliopsida; Poales; Poaceae
Description: long non-coding RNA (SBIC_LNC015674)
Source: RNAcentral